GCUUCCAGUCUCGUCCCUUUCACGUCCAGAUGAGACCCUCUCCUCGUCCAGUUUCAGCCCGUAGGCUGCGCUCUUCUCUUCGGCCACCGGAGGGAGCCGUGAACCUCCAUCCAGACGCUGGUCCGGGUGAAUAAGCAGGUCUUACCAACGGCGCUUCCUCACCUAUAAAACGGGACUUAACUAUGACAUCCCUUCUAAAAGAGCAUUGGAGAAUUAAUCGCGUAUACUCCGUUUUCUUUUGCAGACUUGGCGGGGGGGGGGGGGCGCGCUCUUUAUGUAGACCGGGCUAGCCCCAGUUCAAUACAUUGCUGAAGAAGACUUCAUGCUUCUGAUCAUCCCGCCUCCGCCUCCCAUGUGUCGGGAUUACAGAUAAGUAACAGCACAGCCUGAUGCUAAUGUUUAUUUUCCUAAAAAAGCACUGUCCCCACCCUUGCCCCUAGAUUAAACACACAGCGUCAGUCAGGCACACUAACUGAUGCUACAGUACAUGCACAGCCUUAACAUAUUGACUCUUUAGUCCAAUGCAUACAUAUUCAGUGAUUUUUUCCCCCUCACACAGUAUCGUAUUAAAUAUGCAUAACCGUUCAAUGCGUGCAUGCUGCUACUAUUGUGGUUUCAUUAGAUUAGGGAACUGAAGAUGGAAAGUUUAAAUCCUUUUUUUUUUUUAGUUUUGUUUUUUAAAUGUUGUGAGCGUUUUGUCUGCAUGUAUGUAUGUGCGCCACAUGUGUGCCUGGUGCCCAUAGAGGUCAGAGGAGGGUACUCGAUCUUGGGACUGGAGGUACGGAUGAUUGUGAACCACCACAUAGCUGAUGGGAACUGAAUCUGAGUACUCUGCAGGAGCAGCAAGUACCUUUACCCGCUGUGCCAUUUCGCUGGUCCUCCUUGGAGACAGACAUGAACUUGGGGAGGCAGACAGGAGGAUCCCAGGGCUUAGCUUAGCUGCACUGGUGAGCUUCAAGUUCAGUGAGAGAACCAUCCUAAGAAAUAAAGUAGAAAGCUACUGAGAAAGACACCUGACCUAGGCUUCCAGCUGCGAACAUAUGUGGGCACAGACUUCCACACCCACUGUGGCUCUACCAAGGACACAUUUGACAUCCUUGCUGCUACCCAUGUUUCAGGUAGUAUUUGGUGAUUUUUUUGGAAUUUCUUAAGGCUCAGAUGUGGCUCGCCCUAUGAUGACUAUGAAAAUAAAAACUGCUCUGGUCCUCCA
This is a long non-coding RNA of Rattus norvegicus (Norway rat), 1210 nucleotides long. RefSeq lists it as uncharacterized. NCBI's taxonomy places the organism in Eukaryota, Metazoa, Chordata, Mammalia, Rodentia, Muridae. The record is from RefSeq and is a predicted model, not a curated record.